This 406-nucleotide ribosomal RNA is filed under the name uncultured beta proteobacterium. RNAcentral describes it as "bacterial SSU rRNA". It matches the Rfam family "Bacterial small subunit ribosomal RNA", at positions 9 to 418 of the family's 1533-position model. Lineage: Bacteria; Pseudomonadati; Pseudomonadota; Betaproteobacteria. The record is from RNAcentral.
GAGUUUGAUCAUGGCUCAGAUUGAACGCUGGCGGCAUGCUUUACACAUGCAAGUCGAACGCGAAAGGGGGGCAACCCCUGAGUAGAGUGGCGCACGGGUGAGUAAUGCAUCGGAACGUGUCUUGUAAUGGGGGAUAACUUAGCGAAAGCUAAGCUAAUACCGCAUACGUCCUACGGGAGAAAGUGGGGGAUCGUAAGACCUCACGUUAUAGGAGCGGCCGAUGCCGGAUUAGCUAGUUGGUGGGGUAAAGGCCUACCAAGGCGACGAUCCGUAGCUGGUCUGAGAGGAUGAUCAGCCACACUGGGACUGAGACACGGCCCAGACUCCUACGGGAGGCAGCAGUGGGGAAUUUUGGACAAUGGGCGAAAGCCUGAUCCAGCAAUGCCGCGUGUGUGAAGAAGGCCUU